Molecule: ribosomal RNA, 819 nt
Filed under: uncultured Actinomycetes bacterium
Lineage: Bacteria; Bacillati; Actinomycetota; Actinomycetes
Description: bacterial SSU rRNA
Rfam family: Bacterial small subunit ribosomal RNA
Source: RNAcentral
ACUCCUACGGGAGGCUGCAGUGGGGAAUAUUGCACAAUGGGCGCAAGCCUGAUGCAGCAACGCCGCGUGAGGGACGACGGCCUUCGGGUUGUAAACCUCUUUUAGUAGGGAAGAAGCGAAAGUGACGGUACCUGCAGAAAAAGCACCGGCUAACUACGUGCCAGCAGCCGCGGUAAUACGUAGGGUGCAAGCGUUAUCCGGAAUUAUUGGGCGUAAAGAGCUCGUAGGCGGUUUGUCGCGUCUGCUGUGAAAACCCGAGGCUCAACCUCGGGCCUGCAGUGGGUACGGGCAGACUAGAGUGCGGUAGGGGAGAUUGGAAUUCCUGGUGUAGCGGUGGAAUGCGCAGAUAUCAGGAGGAACACCGAUGGCGAAGGCAGAUCUCUGGGCCGUAACUGACGCUGAGGAGCGAAAGCAUGGGGAGCGAACAGGAUUAGAUACCCUGGUAGUCCAUGCCGUAAACGUUGGGAACUAGAUGUAGGGACCAUUCCACGGUUUCUGUGUCGCAGCUAACGCAUUAAGUUCCCCGCCUGGGGAGUACGGCCGCAAGGCUAAAACUCAAAGGAAUUGACGGGGGCCCGCACAAGCGGCGGAGCAUGCGGAUUAAUUCGAUGCAACGCGAAGAACCUUACCAAGGCUUGACAUAUACCGGAAAAGUUCAGAAAUGUUCUCCCCGCAAGGUCGGUAUACAGGUGGUGCAUGGUUGUCGUCAGCUCGUGUCGUGAGAUGUUGGGUUAAGUCCCGCAACGAGCGCAACCCUCGUUCUAUGUUGCCAGCACGUAAUGGUGGGAACUCAUAGGAGACUGCCGGGGUCAACUCGGA